CACCCUCGUGCAGCCUCAGGUCGCGUGCUGACGGGUCUUCUGUGACGCACUCCCACACCUGCCUCCCUGGACACCCACACAGCCGCCACCCCACCCAGGCCACCGUCAUCUGCCACUGUAACCGGCGCCGGCAGCCUCGUACUGUGCUCGCCAGGAGAGGCUGCUCCCCAGCACGUGCCCAGGACAGCCCCUCCCUGGCUGGUCCCGAGGUCCCCAAGGCCCCCACUCCGGGCUGCCCGCCCUGCGCCCACACCUGGGUGCACACGCACGCGCACGCACACACGUGCACGCCCGCAUCGCCGGUGCUGGGCGUCUCACCCGGUCUUCACUCGCACCUCAGUAGCGCCUGGGUACUCACCUUUCUCUCCAGUAGAACCCCGCUUCCAGCUGACUCCCAGUAGAGCUGAAGCUGGAGCCGUGGGCGCUGCCAGGCCUGGGCAGGCUGCAGGGAGGCGUGCAGUGGAGACACUGGAUGUGUGCAGUCUCCACAGGCAGACAGGUGAAGCUGAGACAGGACAGCAUCGUGGACGGGGUUCCAGAGAGCACAAGGAAAGCACAAAAAGGAAGGAUGGAGGGAGGAAGGAAGGAAAAAGCACCAGGCAAGGAGAGCGCUUCCCUUGCACUCGUGAAAAUCAUUCUAGGUCUCUGUUCCUUUGGAGCCAGCAGAGGCAGGGAGUGGUGCUGGUGAAGAGCAUGGGCUCCACAUCUGCAUCCACAUCAGCAAACCUAGACGAGCCGGGCUCAGCCCGGAGGGGCAGGGCUGCUGACUCACUUUACCCUGACUCCUGCCACAGUGCCAAAGGCCAGGAGCCAAGAGGGCAGUGACCCAAAGCAGUUUUCCUCGCCCUGGAUGGGAGAGCAAUGGGGUCCAGGCCAGAGGGCUGUGGGAUGGGCCCAGCUUGCUCCACACCUGGCCAAGUGACAGUGGAGUCCCCAGAGGACUCUGGGCUACUCCUCCCCCCCAGGGUGCUCCUCCCCCCUCCCCCCUGCAGGGCUUUCUUCCAUCUCUCACCCCUCAGGGUCUUCUUCUGAUCCAUCAUGCAGCAGGAUCCUUUUCUGAUCCCUCAUCCCAGCAAGGAAAACUUUCCUUCAAUCCUGUGCCCCAGUUCUUUGUGGUGUCCCUGGUCCCCUGUGCUCUCUUUCUUGUCGGCGCGGCCGUCCUCUCCUGUCUCUGUGACUGUGGCUAGAUGUGCACAUUGCCUCGCUGCACAGGCCUCUGUCUGGCUCCCUCCCUGUCCCUGCUCCCCACUCAUGGCCAUCAGACCCAGGGCUCUGGGACCCACACGGAGGUGAGCCUGUGAAUCCCGGCACCAUCUCUAUCAGCCUGGGGGCUGAUGGCAGGGUCCCCACCUCAGCUGGAAAUCCCCCUCAGCCUCCUGCCUGCAUCUUAAAUUGCAGCAUUUUUUAAUUAAAUGACUUUGCCCCAGGCACUUCAC
Molecule: long non-coding RNA, 1436 nt
Filed under: Heterocephalus glaber (naked mole-rat)
Lineage: Eukaryota; Metazoa; Chordata; Mammalia; Rodentia; Bathyergidae
Description: lncRNA (ENSHGLG00100048129.1)
Source: RNAcentral